GGCACCUUUGUGUGUUUUUGUUUAACGUGUGGACAGAGACUUAUAGACAGGUGCAAAAGAGAAAUUCUCUUUUGCAACCCAGAACUAAUUGUUCAGUAUGAGUUUUGAUACAUGUAAGCAGGAAUAUU
Molecule: small nucleolar RNA, 128 nt
Filed under: Sciurus vulgaris (Eurasian red squirrel)
Lineage: Eukaryota; Metazoa; Chordata; Mammalia; Rodentia; Sciuridae
Description: Small nucleolar RNA SNORA40 (ENSSVLG00005012537.1)
Rfam family: Small nucleolar RNA SNORA40
About the family: The snoRNA ACA 40 belongs to the H/ACA family of snoRNAs and guides the pseudouridylation of 28S rRNA subunit at position U4565.
Source: Rfam by way of RNAcentral